This 307-nucleotide RNase P RNA is filed under the name Paenimyroides marinum. RNAcentral describes it as "Paenimyroides aquimaris Bacterial RNase P class A". It matches the Rfam family "Bacterial RNase P class A". From Rfam's summary of the family: Ribonuclease P (RNase P) is a ubiquitous endoribonuclease, found in archaea, bacteria and eukarya as well as chloroplasts and mitochondria. Its best characterised activity is the generation of mature 5'-ends of tRNAs by cleaving the 5'-leader elements of precursor-tRNAs. Lineage: Bacteria; Pseudomonadati; Bacteroidota; Flavobacteriia; Flavobacteriales; Flavobacteriaceae. The record is from Rfam by way of RNAcentral.
AAAGCAGAUCGUCUUAUCGCUGGCAAUUGUCAGAGGAAAGUCCGGGCACCAUAGAGCAGAAUAGCGGGUAACGCCCGUCCGCCGUGAGGUGAGGACCAGUGCAACAGAAAGUAUGUACAGUUAGGCUGUAGUGAAACCAGGUAAACUCUAUUCGGUGAAAUGCCAUGUAAACCAACAUUAAGUGCUGCUCGCGCAAGUUGGAGGGUAGGCAGAUGGAACGUCUCAGUAAUGAUUCGUCUAGAUAAAUGAUAAGAACCUUUCUUUUACGGAAUACGUACAGAACCCGGCUUACAGGUCUGCUUUUUUA